GNCUAGAGUGUGUCAGAGGGAGGUGGAAUUCCGCAUGUAGCAGUGAAAUGCGUAGAUAUGCGGAGGAACACCGAUGGCGAAGGCAGCCUCCUGGGAUAACACUGACGCUCAUGCACGAAAGCGUGGGGAGCAAACAGGAUUAGAUACCCUGGUAGUCCACGCCCUAAACGAUGUCUACUAGUUGUCGGGGAUUAAUUUCCUUGGUAACGCAGCUAACGCGUGAAGUAGACCGCCUGGGGAGUACGGUCGCAAGAUUAAAACUCAAAGGAAUUGACGGGGACCCGCACAAGCGGUGGAUGAUGUGGAUUAAUUCGAUGCAACGCGAAAAACCUUACCUACGCUUGACAUGUCCGGAACCCUGAAGAGAUUUGGGGGUGCUCGAAAGAGAGCCGGAACACAGGUGCUGCAUGGCUGUCGUCGGCUCGUGUCGUGAGAUGUUGGNNUAANNNNNGCAACGAGCGCAACCCUUAUCAUUAGUUGCUACGCAAGGGCACUCUAAUGAGACUGCCGGUGACAAACCGGAGGAAGGUGGGGAUGACGUCAAGUCCUCAUGGCCCUUAUGUGUAGGGCUUCACACGUCAUACAAUGGUCGGUACAGAGGGUUGCGAAGCCGCGAGGUGGAGCCAAUCCCAAAAAACCGAUCGUAGUCCGGAUUGCAGUC
RNAcentral lists this ribosomal RNA (661 nucleotides) under uncultured bacterium. Its description in RNAcentral is "bacterial SSU rRNA". It matches the Rfam family "Bacterial small subunit ribosomal RNA", at positions 639 to 1305 of the family's 1533-position model. The record is from RNAcentral.